Lathyrus oleraceus (garden pea) is the source of this 1292-nucleotide long non-coding RNA. RefSeq lists it as uncharacterized. The record is from RefSeq and is a predicted model, not a curated record. The transcript is spliced from 3 exons. Lineage: Eukaryota; Viridiplantae; Streptophyta; Magnoliopsida; Fabales; Fabaceae.
GCUUGAGAAUAGUGUUUGAUGUUGUGUGUUUUUUCAAACUCUGAUGUUGUCUCCCCUCCUUUAACUUUGAGUGUGCUCUUCUUUUAUAUUGAAGAGUAAAGGAUUUUUGUUGGGUUUUGAUUUAUAAAAGGGAAUGGAAUUGGAAAUGCUAGACCAUGUUUUUCCAAAUGCAUGUUUGCUCUGAAAAAGCAUUGCGCCCUUGUACCUUGCUUGUCUGCUUCUUUUGGAUUGUUAUGCUCUUUUUACUAUAUUACAUUUGUUAAUGUUACUUCUUUACUGUAGUAAAAUGUGAAUUGAGUGGAAUUGGCUUACUAUACAUUAAUGUGGAAUUGCAGUUAUGCUUCAAAUGCGUGAAUGCUAUGAUGCCUUGGACUUGUUGUUGUUGACUUGGACUGCUGUUGGUUUUGGUUGCAUGGUUUGGAAUUUGUUGCAAGUUUUAUGUCCAUUUAUAUGCACAUGGUUAGGUUGCAUUGGAUGCUUGGUCUUCUUGCAGGUAUGAAGUUGUUAGGUAUUUUUGGAAUUGUUUGUAUUUGUUGGGUUUUGCUGCAACAGUUGAAUUGGUGCAGGGUGCUCAUGGAUUGAUGCUUGCUUGCUAUGGCUUUUUGCAGCUUGAUGGAAUUGGAUUGAAAGUGUGUUUGUUCAUAUGAAAUUGCACUGAACUUUGCAGGUUUGUUCUAGUUUGAUGCGGCUGAAAUUGAAUUGAUGCAUGGUUGAAUUGUGAAGGUCUGUUGCAGGUUUGUAUGUUGACCUGCCUUGCUUGAUGUUUGUGCAUGUUUUGGAAUGCAUUGUUGUAAAUUUGGUGAUGGCAAUAUGGUGAAGGUUGGUUGGAAUGAGUGAUGCAUUGCAGAAUUGAGGGUAUUUGGCUAUGGACAGCAGGGCAUUUGGUACAGGAAACAAUGUGGACUAUUUGUCCAUGUAUUUGGAUGUCGCAGAUUCAACUAGUUUGCCCUAUGGUUGGAGUAGAUAUGCACAGUUUAGCUUGGCAAUUGUUAAUCAAAUCCAUAAUAAGUUUUCUGUGAGAAAAGUUAUUUCAACUUGCGAGUUUGUGUUCCGUUGUUCUUUGUUGUCGAGUUGCUCCUCUGCAAAAAGCCGGUAUUGUUUCCCUUGUGAAGAAGAGAACAUCUGACAUGACACUAGCCAUUGGAGACGGUGCUAAUGAUGUUUCAAUGAUUCAAAUGGCUGAUGUCGGAGUCGGCAUCAGUGGAUAAGAGGGCAGGCAAGCUGUAAUGUCAUCAGAUUUCGCAAUGGGACAGUUUAGGUUUUUAGUUCCUCUCUUGUUGGUUCAUGGUCAC